RNAcentral lists this long non-coding RNA (3262 nucleotides) under Homo sapiens (human). RNAcentral's name for it is "non-protein coding LINC00847:3". Lineage: Eukaryota; Metazoa; Chordata; Mammalia; Primates; Hominidae. The record is from RNAcentral.
GUUGGAAAAUCCCACUUUACUUCAAGUGAAGUCACUGGGUUGUCCCCAUGAAAUAUCUCCACAAUGGGUGUGCUAGACCUUUACUCUCUGUGGCACCACCAAGACCCCCUCACCCUGCCAGAGCCCUCUGAAGUGUACUCAGAAUGGAGGGGCUGGAAGUGGGGCCAGUGGUCCUGGUAGUCAGCCUCCCCUUCUGACACAAGAAUUAUCGUGGAACAGCUUGUGUGACCGAUCAACUGGUCUCUCCAUCUUUAAGCCAUUGUCUUGUUGACUCUGUUACUGCAGAGUUUGGGGAGGUCUCAUGGCUUCUCGCAUCCUAUUUCCUGAGCUUCCCUGAAGCCAACUUCUGGCCACUGGUAUGUGAUGCGAGCACAGUGCCUCCUCCUGCUCCUCCAGGAAGCUUCUGCUGAUUGAACGCAGGCCAGAUGGCGAGAUCCGGAGCAACCUUCUUAGAUCAAGGGAAGAAAGGGGCACAAGAGGGGAGUAGGUAACAAGAUAAAAGGAGCUCCCUCCCUGAUGACUACAGAGCCAUCGUGGCAGCCCUGGGCCUCCAUUUCAGACGUUCAUCUUGCCUAAGCCACCACCAUCAGGGUCUCAGUCAGUCAUCAUUCUCAUUUACUCGGGUGGCUGGGUGAGGGCGGAAUACUACCUUCCAGCUGUCUGAGAUUAAGCCUAAGCCACCACCAUCAGGGUCUCAGUCAGUCAUCAUUCUCAUUUACUCGGGUGGCUGGGCGAGGGCGGAAUACUACCUUCCAGCUGUCUGAGAUUAAGCAGAACAGCAGCUAAAGCAGUAACAGCAGGUCUCCUUCAGCAGCUUGCCACAGGGAAGAGGGUCCCGCGUGAACCGAACUCAACUUCCACCUGCGCAGAGGUAGCUACCAUUUGCGUAGAGGUAGCUGGGUCUUUAAGGUUAGAGGGAAGGCGCAGGGAGGGAGAGACGGCGGGUGGGGGUUGAACAAAGUGGAGAUUCACAAAAGCAGACUAGGGCGGGCGACGUGAUCAGAUGACCUGUGCGGGCGGCAGCCUCCUGCCCUCCUCCCCUUCGUGCGCCGGCUGGAGCGAAGAGUUCUUUUGACAGCCGUGAGCUUCCCCGCCAGGAACUUACUGGGGCUGCAUCACCCUAGAAACGUGGCUUUGGGCUGUGGAAACGCUGCCUCUGUGGAAGUCUCUCCUCGCGGGGGUGGACGGGUCGCUGCGCGCCCAGCGUUCUUCUGCGGUUCUCACAGCCCGCCGCCGCCGCCGCCUCGGGGACCUUUGCGGGGAGGCCUCAGGUCAGCGCCGCCCUUGCGAUGGCGGGAGAGCAGAGCGGCCCCAGGGCCUCUGAGCUCCGGCCCCGGCACGUCCCGCCCUCUCCUCCGCUUGCGGGAGCCGGGGCGCCUCGGAGGGAAACCUUCCGGACACAGGCCGGGAGAAGAGGGGCCGUGGCGCCAUCGCGCAGCUUCCUGGUUUCGGCCAUGUUUUUUUUUUUUUGAGACGGAGUUUCGCUCUUUUUGCCCAGGCUGGAGGGCAAUGGCGCCGUCUCGGCUCCCUGCAGCCGCCGCCUCCCGGGUUGAAGGGACUCUCCGGCCUCAGGCCGCGGUGUUCUUGUAAAUUAGAACCGGCCUAUGCGCCAAGCGCGGGUCUCGCGGCUGCGGAGAGAGGCCCAGCAGGGGGCGGGGACGCCGGGAGGCGGGGCCUGGCCGAGCUGCGCACACCCGGGUGGUUCUGGCUACGGGUACCCGGACCUGCCCAACGACCGUUCUCCAUUCCCGACCUCCGCACCCUACCCGGUCCGCAGGGCACCUUCCUCCUCUCUCUCAGGCACGUCCUCGACCUCAGUUGCCACGUGCACAUGCUGGUGCCUUCCAGGCUGGAGUAUAGUGGCAUGAUCAUAGAUCACUGCAGCCUCAAACUCCUGGGCUCAAGCGAUCCUCCCACCUCAGCCUCCAUAUAGCUGGUGGGGACCAAGUUUCUAACACAUGAAUGUUGGGAGACACAUUCAGACCAUCGCAGUGGCCUUAUAAAAAGAGACACAAGAGCUUGCUCUCUGCCAUGUGAGAAUACCACAAGAAGACUGUCCUCAGCAAAUCAGAAAGCGGGUGGACCCUCAUCAGACACCAGAUGUGCCUGCACCUUGAUCUUGGACUUGCCAGCCUUCAGAACAGUAAGAAAGAAAUGUGUGUUGUUUAAGCCACCCAGUCUAUGGUAACUUGCUAUAGCAGCCCACUAGGAGACCCCAAGAUAUUUAAAAACUCAUCAGCACCUGCUUUCUGCAUCUGGACCCUGAUCUUCUGGUGGGUUUACCAGUUACUUGUAGAGUGUCCCUGUGAUAGUUUUAGGUGUCAACUUGACAGGAUUGAGGGAUGCCUAGAUGGCUGGGGAAGCACUGUUUCUGAGAAGGACCAUGUUUUUGGAGGAGACUGUUUUAUGAGUGAAUUUCAGGGGACACAUUCAGAUCAUGGCAGUGGCAUUAUAAAGAGAGACACAAAAGCUUGCUCUCUCUCUCUGCCAUGUAAGACUACCACACAAAGACUGCCAUCUGCAAACCAGAAGCAGGUGGGCUUUCCUCAGACACCAGAUCUGCCUGCACCUUGAUCUUGGACUUGCCAGCCUUCAGAACUCUAAGAAAGAAAUGGUAGCAUGGCUUGGUCUAAGUUGGAAGGCCUGAGAAACAAGCACAUGGUGGAACUGAGUUCAAGGAUAAAGACUUGAGAAUACCUGCUCAGUGGACUGAGUAGGGAAGAUCAACCCUCAAUGUAGGCAGGCACUAUCCAAUCACCUGAGGGCCCAGAUGGAACAAAAAGGUGGAAGAAGGGUGAAUUCUCUCUUCCAGAGCUGUGACACCCUUCUCAUGCCCUUGUACCACACAACUCUAGGUCCUUUGGCCUUUGGACUCUGACACUUGCACCAGUGGCCCUCUGGGGCUCUCAAGCCUUUAGCCUUGAACUUAGUUACACCAUGUGCCUCCUUGUUUCUCAGGCCUUCCAACUUGGAUCAGGCCAUGCCACCGGCUUCUCUGAUUCUCCAGCUUGCAGAUGGUAUAUUGUGACCCUGGCAUUUAAUAACUAUGACUUUGGUCUUAAGCAAUUUUCUUCCUCUGUGGAUUGAUAUUUACAUAUCAAUGUGGAUAAUAAUUUCUUACCACGGUAACUGUUGUGAGGUAAAAAUGAGUUAACAUAAGUAAAACCGAGCACAUGCAAACCAUCCGAAAUGGUUAAUACUUACUAUUUGUACUUGAAGAAAUAAAUGUUUUUGACAAUAAACUUCUUGUGCAGUUUUCCUC